Molecule: long non-coding RNA, 525 nt
Organism: Drosophila gunungcola (fruit fly)
Lineage: Eukaryota; Metazoa; Arthropoda; Insecta; Diptera; Drosophilidae
Exons: 4
Source: RefSeq, a predicted model, not a curated record
GCGCUUUUUUUGUGUUUAGUUCCUAGAAAAUUCUACAAGAAGAGAUGGAUGAAAAAAGUAUGGAGUUUUUGGAAAAUGUGGAUCCCGAGAACGCGGAAUUUUUGAUUGCUCUUUUUAAAGGCAACGUACUACGUACCAAGGCAGCCGAAAACUAAUUUGGAAGGCGCGAAGCAGCCCAGGGGUAAAUUAUAUGAUAAAUAUACCUGCAUAAUAAAAGAUUUGCGUGCUUCAGGAUUACGGUCGAAAGAGUCCGAACAGCCAACAACUGUUCAUGACGAUGGAGUAAAGAGAGAUGAACAGGGUAAAGUGAAGGAAGACCUGGAGUGGUUAAGACGAUGACUCGAACCCGAGGUUGAGGCUACUGAGCGGUGGAGUAGGACUUCCGAUUAUCGCCUCCAUUCCUUAAGAGUUACUCCUACUAGAAAAAAGGGGAUUCGUCGUCAAAUUAAUUCAAUUACAAUUUAUUUCAACGAAUUUAAGGUUCUGAGACAGCCUUGGGGCUAUAUACUUUCUACCAUUCUUUGG